This 402-nucleotide ribosomal RNA is filed under the name uncultured prokaryote. RNAcentral describes it as "bacterial SSU rRNA". It matches the Rfam family "Bacterial small subunit ribosomal RNA", at positions 355 to 774 of the family's 1533-position model. The record is from RNAcentral.
UGGGGAAUAUUGCACAAUGGAGGAAACUCUGAUGCAGCAACGCCGCGUGAGUGACGAAGGCCUUCGGGUUGUAAAGCUCUGUCAUCUGGGACGAUAAUGACGGUACCAGAGGAGGAAGCCACGGCUAACUACGUGCCAGCAGCCGCGGUAAUACGUAGGUGGCGAGCGUUGUCCGGAAUUACUGGGCGUAAAGGAUGCGUAGGUGGGAAUUUAAGUCAGAUGUGAAAUACCCGAGCUUAACUUGGGCACUGCAUUUGAAACUGAAUUUCUUGAGUGCAGGAGAGGAAAGCGGAAUUCCUAGUGUAGCGGUGAAAUGCGUAGAGAUUAGGAAGAACACCAGUGGCGAAGGCGGCUUUCUGGACUGUAACUGACACUGAGGCAUGAAAGCGUGGGGAGCAAACA